Homo sapiens (human) is the source of this 2421-nucleotide long non-coding RNA. RefSeq annotates it as long independently transcribed non-coding RNA 2968. The record is from RefSeq and is a predicted model, not a curated record. The transcript is spliced from 8 exons. Lineage: Eukaryota; Metazoa; Chordata; Mammalia; Primates; Hominidae.
ACAUGUGCCACCACGCCUGGCUAAUUUUUUGUAUUUUUAGUAGAGAUGGGGUUUCACCGUGUUGGCCAGGCUGGUCUCGAACUCCUGACCUUGGAUGAUCUGCUCGCCUCGGCCUCCCAAAUUGCUGGGAUGACAGACGUGAACCACCGUGCCUGGCCGACAGUCACCUUUAGAAUGUGAACAGUGGACACUGUGUUGGGGUCUCCUACCUGUGCCUGUGAUGUGGACUGGCCCAUCUCGUCAUGGACAAGUAGAGAUGGGGUUUCACCAUGUUGAGCAGUCUGGUCUUGAACUUCUGACCUCGUGAUCCACCCGCCUCAGCCCCCCAAAGUGCUGGGAUUACAGGCGUGAGCCACCGCGCCCGGCCUGAGACGGCUUUCCAAGGCUGCAGAAAUGAAGUCUGCAAUAGCAGAUCCUCUUUGCCUGGGUUUGCACGUGAUCCAGCAAACCACCCACCGACCCGUUGCCUCAUGUGAGACAUCCUCAGGGAACAGCAAGGUGAGCGUGCCGCAGUCUCGCUGUUCUUGGAAGGGACUUCCAGCCUGGAAAGAAAAGGGAGGGAUAAGAGAGCAUCUGUGGAUCUUCCUGGCAUAUUCCUUCUCCUACAAGACCAUACAGGGUAACUUUGAGUCAUGGCCAUGGCAUUUGUAAACUGUCCUGGCGCUGGUGGGAGUGUCUUUGAGCAUGCUAACACGUUAUAAUUAGUGUAUAAAGAGCAGUGAGGAUGACCAGAGGUUGCUCUCUUUGCCAUCUUGGAUUUGGUGGGAUUUGUCCGGCUUCUUUACUACAACCUGUUUAAUCAGCAGGGUCUUUAUGGCCUGUAUCUUGUGCCGACCUCCUAUCUCAUCCUGUGACUUACAAUGCCUAACCUCCUGGGAAUGCAGCCCAGUACGUCUCAGCCUCAUUUUACCCAGCUCUGUAUUCAAGAUACAUUCACUCUGGUCCCAACGCCUCUGACACUACGUUCCAGGGAUUACGGCAUGAACAUACUGUUUUCAGGACCCUAUCUAGCCCACCAUGUAUUUUCAGAGCUGCCCUUGGCCAUCUGGAAGAUGCAUGGUGAAAGAAACGGAUGCUUGCUCUCAGCACACACUUCCUUCCCUGACAGUUUGUCGCCUAGCAGCUAUUUUGGCUUCCCAAGGGAAAUCUUGUCCUUUGCCCUUGUGGGGCUUACUGCAAAUCAACUCAUCAUGAGGAAGAUUAAUCAGAGAAAAGACAUACAAUUUUUUUUUUUUUUAAACUGUGAGCAUGAAGAGAAUCACAGAGUGUAUACUCAAUCUCCCAAUGGGGGCAAAAUACUUCUGUAACCUCCUUUCAGGUGGCGAGAGGGGACAUGGGAAUGUAGGUAAUUCUGUUGAGUGGUAAUAAGUGAUGACUAGGAAGAUUGAAUGGAUACUUGGGAGAAUGAAUAGGGGGAGGAAACAGAGAUUGACUUAUUAAUGGUUCCCUUUGGAAAUUAAAUACUCCUUGGAGACCAGUCAUUACUUUGUAAAAAAGUCUGUUUGAGCGGGCUUACAUCUUAACGUUCUUUCCUGUAGUCAAGAAGAAGAUCCCAGGGAGGGAGGGAAAGUGAAUUGUAAUAAUCCCGACAUGUUCAGGGAGGGACCCUGUGGGAGGUCAUUGAAUGAUGGGGGGCAGGUGCUUCCUGUGUUGUUCUUAUGAUAGUGAUUAAGUCUCACAGGAUCUGAUGGUUUUAUAAAGCCAGGUUCCGCUGCACAUGCCCUCUUGCCUGCCGCCAUGGAAGAUGUGCUUUUUCUCCUCCUUUGCCUUCCGCCAUGAUUGUGAGUCUUCCCCAGCCAUGUGGAACUAAGUAAAACGGGGAAUUUUUUAGAAACACGUCAAUUACCUUUGAUUUUGUGUCAUAUACAGAAGGGAAUGUUUUUAUUCCUGCAAACCCCAUAAAAGCCAGUGAUGCAUUUUCAUAGCCCUCUCUUGGCAGAAAACUGCCUUUGAAAUUUCUGGAUCAAGAACGUAUUAUUUUCUGAUGGCUUUUUUUUUUUUUUUUUCUGGUGAUGUAUCUCAAAAGCUUCAACUUUUCCCCUCCUGUUAGCAGAAUACAGGGGAUCCGGUACCGAAUGCAGCAUCUACCAACCACAGGCACUGGAUGUAACUAUGCUUUGAAUUUUGAAGGUCCCUGAUAAGACAUCUUUGAGGUCAGGCAUAAAUCAUCACUUCACAUCUUGACGGCAAUGCAACGAAGACAAGUAUCUGUCUCUUUGGGUCUGUCUAACAAGGAGCAAAGCCUGGCCUCCCACCAGCAUCCAGACAAUAGUGGAUUCCCUCUCCAUAGAUGUCAAAAAAGAAACAGAUGCUCCCGCAGGUGAAAUGAGCUCUGGUCCACAAUGCAACGCAGGCUGUGCAGAAAAUCAAAGAGGAACCAACCCAGAAGUAUCCCCCAGGACAAAUCAUUAAGGGGGAAAA